RNA transcript from Drosophila obscura, 1792 nucleotides. It is a transcript of the gene named ras-related protein Rab-30, with no coding region annotated. The transcript has 3 exons. The record is from RefSeq and is a predicted model, not a curated record. NCBI's taxonomy places the organism in Eukaryota, Metazoa, Arthropoda, Insecta, Diptera, Drosophilidae.
AGUGUCAAAUCGAUUUGUUUAUAUUUAUAAGCAGCAGCAGCGGAAUUUUACUGAAAAACAGAGAGAAACAGAAACGGGCUGGAAAUUAAUGCUGCAGCAUGCACUCGGCUCAUUUGAAUAGCGACUAUUUUAAAGCUGGCCCAAUCAUCUUGAAUUGAUUUCCAGCCUCCGUGCAAGAGCAAGUACACGGGGCCGUCGAGUUGUUGAGUCAUCAACAAUUAACAAAAAAACAAGGGCAGCAGCAGUAGCAGCCUUGGGGGCGAACGUUAACACCACCCGACGAGAUAGACGGUGCCACAGGUGAGAGGCGCACACGAGACAAGGCGUAGUCUUUCGCCUUGAUGGCGUAAGCUGAUCCAACAAACCACCCCAUCAUCAUCGCCCAUCAACCACACAGGCGUUACGCGUCGUUGACUAAGAGCACACAAACACACACGCACGUUUCUCUGACGCUCCGCUCACCCAAAAAAAAACUAUGGAGGACUACAAAUUCCUGUUCAAAAUCGUGCUCGUUGGAAACGCGGGCGUUGGCAAAACUUGCCUGGUGCGCCGCUUCACCCAGGGUCUGUUCCCACCCGGCCAGGGGGCCACGAUUGGCGUGGACUUUAUGAUCAAGACCGUGGAGGUGGAGGGUGAGAAGAUCAAGCUACAGAUUUGGGACACUGCCGGCCAGGAGCGAUUCCGUUCGAUCACGCAAAGCUACUAUCGCUCCGCGCACGCCCUGAUCCUGGUGUACGACAUCAGUUGCCAGCCCACGUUCGACUGCCUGCCCGACUGGCUGCGGGAGAUACAGGAGUACGCCAACUCCAAGGUCCUCAAGAUACUCGUUGGCAACAAAACGGAUCGCGACGACCGCGAGAUACCCACACAAAUUGGCGAAGAGUUUGCCAAACAACAUGACAUGUACUUCCUCGAAACAUCCGCCAAAGAGGCGGAGAAUGUGGAGCGUUUGUUCUACGAGAUUGCCGCCGAACUGAUUGGCCAGGCCCGCAGCAAAGACGGCAGCAGUGCUGCAGCCGCGGCGGCCGCCCAGCGGCAGUCGGACGGCAGUUCCAUUGGAUUAGCCAGCUUAGGUGCCAAAGCAGCGCAGAGCAAUUGCUGUGGCGGAUUGGCCAAUGCUGGCGGAGGUGGCAGCGGCAGUGGCUCUAGCACUAGUCAAGGCGGCUGAGAAGCGGCAGCCAAACAACUAGAAACUGAGCAGCUAAACUGAAAUUUGUAACUAGUUAAGGGCUUAAUCGUGAUAUUCAAUCUGAUCUUUUGAUAGAUAAUGUGACAUUCAUCUUCAGUCCGUUUUUUCCCAUGUAUUUAUUUAUAAUUAUUUCAAAUGCAAGAUAUUUGAUUUUCGUAGCGUAAAGUAGCCCAAAUCAAUUCACGAUUAAGAUCUUUCAAAACUAGCCAACACUUGACUAUGGAUGCUAAAUAUUUGUGUUAAAAAUCGAACUCCAUUGGAUGUGUAGUCUUAAAGCGUCUGAUUUUCUUGAUAAUUCAUGUAAGCAACAAUAAAAUGGAACGACUGAUUUUAAAACUCCAGAAUACAAAUCCAUUGAAAAUAGAACGGAUAAAAGUGUUUCGUAUUUUUUUUUUCACACGUGCCUAAACCCAAGUGUUUAAAAAAUUGUUGAAAUUUCAAAAAGUAUCCCAAUUUUGUUUUUUAUUUUUAAUUUUGUUUAUGUGAAGCGUAGUUAGGCGGAAAAUAUUGAAAGUAAUGUGUAACAAAGGGGCUAUGGCUAUGGCGUCAAACGAAAUCGUUAAAUGUCGCGUAAAGCGGAGAGCGAAAACGACAAGCACAUGG